CUUCACUCUCUAACCUCUUUGCAGGGACCACAGACACAGAUGUGACAGUGAAGGUGUCCCCAACUUUCUCUGCCUUCUCGAGACCCACAGAGACCUCAGCGUUUCUGCCCACCACUACCUCCACCAGCACAGCCACCACUCCUCCCUCCAGCUCUGAAGUGGAAACCUCCACCCUGGAGGAGAGGUCCAGCACGCCACCGUACACCUUCACAGCCAGCACUACAACUACUUGGGGCAGCAGCCCUGCAGCCUCUAACGUCACCACACCGGCUGAGAGGGGCAGCACAGCCUACAGCUCUGCCAGUUUGCCCGCUGGCACCACCACAGUCCAGAUAGUCUCCAUCACCACAGGAAAGGGGACCACCACUGAUGCCCAGUCUCCAACCACUGCAGCCAUGACGUCCACCUGUGCCGAGAUGACAGCCAGCACGUCCACGGGGACCAGCAUGGCUCCAGGCGUCAGCUCAACCAGAGGCGACACAACCACAGUGCCUCCCUCCACCUCCUCUCUUCUUACUUCCACCAUGGAGGGCACCACACUUGCCACAAGCACCAGUGAAGAGCCAGCCAUGACCUCACCGCUUCAUAGCACAUCACAGGAGACCAGCAGUGCAUCUCCCUCUACAGUGAUGCCUCCCAUCACAACAGAAGAGACAAUCACUUCAGCUGGGUCCUCGACAUUGCUGGAAGGCACCACAACUGCCUCUGUCACCAGCACAGCGGUCUCAGAGAGCACCCCCACUGCCACCCAGCCAGAGACCACAGCUGAGACCACCUCUGCUAUCUCCACCCCGACCUCAGGGACAGCCCCAGACACCACGACAGCGCCUCAAACCUCAAGUGCAGCAACAAGUGCAUCUCACCUCUUUCUGUCACUGCGCCUAACUGUUCCCCUGGACCUUGAAAACUCCAUGGCCCAGGAGCUGAUUUUGUCCAAGCUCCGUGGGGAUCUGCAGACUGCGUUCCCGUGUGCUGGCUUCACAGUGGAGUGGAGAGGGAAGAGAAGGACCUGAAUGCUCUCCUCCCAGCCUGACGACCUGCAGGGCAGGGACCUGAGUAAAUUUGCAAGUGUUCUGCUCUCAGUUCUUUUCCAUGUUGGUGUGGCUCUCUAGGGUAACCUGUGCAGCUCCUGUUGAACCCGGACCCCUCCAUCCAACACUUCAUCCCCCCGCAAUGACCACCAGUGCACCCUGCAUCCUGUUGUUCUCCCGGGCUGGGAUUGUCCCUGCCACUUCCUGCAGUCUGUCUGCAUCUUGCCCCAUGCUGCAGAGCUCAAGCCCUCCCAUGGCCUUGUACCAGUCCCARUGCCCACAUUUGGGCCCUUCUGCUGUCCCCUGGCUCUCUCAGGGGGCUGGAAGGAGAGACAGGCUGCCCAUGAGACCCUACAAGGGCUGGCCUUUUGUGGCCGGGAUGGCAAUGAGGGAUGGCUGAGUCAUAAAAGUCACCCUUGGAGCUAAUAAAUAAGAGAAAGGAGAUCUGGAGACUCUGCUC
Molecule: long non-coding RNA, 1491 nt
Filed under: Apteryx rowi (Okarito brown kiwi)
Lineage: Eukaryota; Metazoa; Chordata; Aves; Apterygiformes; Apterygidae
Description: lncRNA (ENSARWG00000007229.1)
Source: RNAcentral